RNAcentral lists this unclassified non-coding RNA (339 nucleotides) under soil metagenome. RNAcentral's name for it is "partial contains 5.8S ribosomal RNA, internal transcribed spacer 2, and large subunit ribosomal RNA". The stretch from base 1 to 120 matches the Rfam family "5.8S ribosomal RNA", at positions 35 to 154 of the family's 154-position model. The record is from RNAcentral.
GAUGAAGAACGCAGCGAAAUGCGAUACGUAGUGUGAAUUGCAGAAUUCAGUGAAUCAUCGAAUCUUUGAACGCACAUUUCACCUCUCGGUAUUCCGGGAGGUAUGCCUGUUCGAGCGUCAUUUGUACCCUCAAGCUCUGCUUGGUGUUGGGUGUUUGUUCCGCCUCUGUGUGUGAACUCGCCUCAAAACAAUUGGCAGCCGGCGUACUUGUUUCGGAGCGCAGCACAUUUUGCGAUCCAGAUCAACGUACAGCGGCAUCCAAGAAGCCUUAUUUAACGCUCUUGACCUCGGAUCAGGUAGGGAUACCCGCUGAACUUAAGCAUAUCAAUAAGCGGAGGA